UCAUCUACACCCUCAAGCUCUGCUUGGUGUUGGGCGUCUGUCCCGCCUCCGUGCGUGGACUCGCCCCAAAGGCAUUGGCGACGGUCUUCACCACCUCUCGCGUAGCGCAAUACGCUUCUCGAGGCGGCGAGUUCCGUGACCACGAAGCCACGUUUACCGUCUUUGACCUCGGAUCAGGUAGGGAUACCCGCUGAACUUAA
RNAcentral lists this unclassified non-coding RNA (200 nucleotides) under soil metagenome. RNAcentral's name for it is "partial contains internal transcribed spacer 2 and large subunit ribosomal RNA". The record is from RNAcentral.